RNAcentral lists this unclassified non-coding RNA (337 nucleotides) under soil metagenome. RNAcentral's name for it is "partial contains 5.8S ribosomal RNA, internal transcribed spacer 2, and large subunit ribosomal RNA". The stretch from base 1 to 120 matches the Rfam family "5.8S ribosomal RNA", at positions 35 to 154 of the family's 154-position model. The record is from RNAcentral.
GAUGAAGAACGUAGCGAAAUGCGAUAAGUAGUGUGAAUUGCAGAAUUCAGUGAAUCAUCGAAUCUUUGAACGCACAUUGCGCCCCAUGGUAUUUCGUGGGGCAUGCCUGUUCGAGCGUCAUUUACCCCCUCAAGCUCCACUUGGUGUUGGGCGUCUGUCCCGCUUCGCGCGCGGACUCGCCCCAAAGGUAUUGGCAGCGGUCGUGCCAGCUUCUCGCGCAGCACAUUGCGCUUCUCGAGGCACCGGUGGGCCCGCGUCCAUCAAGCUCACCCCCCCAGUUUGACCUCGGAUCAGGUAGGGAUACCCGCUGAACUUAAGCAUAUCAAUAAGCGGAGGA